UACGUAGGGUGCGAGCGUUGUCCGGAAUUACUGGGCGUAAAGAGCUCGUAGGUGUUUUGUCGCGUUGUUCGUGAAAACUCACAACUCAAUUGUGGGCGUGCGGGCGAUACGGGCAGACUGGAGUACUGCAGGGGAGACUGGAAUUCCUGGUGUAGCGGUGGAAUGCGCAGAUAUCAGGAGGAACACCGGUGGCGAAGGCGGGUCUCUGGGCAGUAACUGACGCUGAGGAGCGAAAGCGUGGGGAGCGAACAGG
This 253-nucleotide ribosomal RNA is filed under the name uncultured bacterium. RNAcentral describes it as "partial 16S ribosomal RNA". It matches the Rfam family "Bacterial small subunit ribosomal RNA", at positions 524 to 776 of the family's 1533-position model. The record is from RNAcentral.